GCUCAGGAUGAACGCUGGCGGCGUGCUUAACACAUGCAAGUCGAACGAAGCACUUUUACAGAUUUCUUCGGAAUGAAGUUUUAGUGACUGAGUGGCGGACGGGUGAGUAACGCGUGGGUAACCUGCCUCACACAGGGGGAUAACAGUUGGAAACGGCUGCUAAUACCGCAUAAGCGCACAGUACCGCAUGGUACAGUGUGAAAAACUCCGGUGGUGUGAGAUGGACCCGCGUCUGAUUAGCUAGUUGGCAGGGCAACGGCCUACCAAGGCGACGAUCAGUAGCCGACCUGAGAGGGUGACCGGCCACAUUGGGACUGAGACACGGCCCAAACUCCUACGGGAGGCAGCAGUA
RNAcentral lists this ribosomal RNA (352 nucleotides) under uncultured bacterium. Its description in RNAcentral is "bacterial SSU rRNA". It matches the Rfam family "Bacterial small subunit ribosomal RNA", at positions 22 to 356 of the family's 1533-position model. The record is from RNAcentral.